CAAUUUUCACUCUCUCUGUGUGCAGAACAGCAACAUUAAACACUAUUUCACAUCCUCUCUUCUCUUCUAUACCAUUUAAAUCACUUUGAAUGCUCACAAACAAGACUUUGGUUCAGAGUGUGAACCGGACAAGAGACUUCGUCUAGAGUGGAAAAUCAUUCUCACGUAGCGUAAGUUGAAUGUGUUGGAAGCUUGCUAAGGCUGUUAGCAAUUGGGGAUAGUUAAGGUAUCCUGGUGUCGUGAAGACUUGCAAUAUGUGAAUGCCUUUGGCUAGGAGUUCAAGAUCAACUUAGGGUUAUGUUUCAGAGUGUUGUCCAGGUCUGUUAUUGGGAAGUUUGUUGUUGAAGCUCACUGCUUAAAUGUGUUAGUGGUAUUGACCUUCACUUGUUGUCAAAUAAUUUGUAAGAAAAUAUAUUCAAGUGGUCUAAUAUUUUAUAA
Long non-coding RNA from Vicia villosa (hairy vetch), 438 nucleotides. RefSeq lists it as uncharacterized. The record is from RefSeq and is a predicted model, not a curated record. The transcript is spliced from 3 exons. NCBI's taxonomy places the organism in Eukaryota, Viridiplantae, Streptophyta, Magnoliopsida, Fabales, Fabaceae.